AUGUUGAUUUAUACAUUGUUUAUCAUUCAUGACAGGCAUCCCCAGGUGCCCCUCCUUCUUAUGAACAAGCCAACAGGGAGAAUGAAUCCAUAAAAGGAUUGGAUGCCCAGCCUCCAAGAUACUCUGACCCAGAGAGUCAGACCUCUACACCCAGUGAGCCCCCUCCAUCAUACGAAUCCCUGUAUGGACGUGUCAAAGCAGCCCAGCUCCAAUCAGAAAGCAAACCACAGUUCUUCAAAAAAAUCCUGACAAUCGUCAUGGGAACUUUGGGCUGUACCAUUUGUCUUGGAAUUAUUCUCGCUGUACCAAUCUCAAUGAUUGUCAUGGGCAGCCUAUAUUUCCAUGACUGUCCCGCUGAGUGGCUCAUUCCCUUGUAUCUGGUUGUUGCUGGAUCUGUUGGAAUCAUUAAGAAUUUUUCAAGUCUUUGUCAGAAAGUAAAGAAUGACAGAGAAAAUGCAGAAGAUGACAAUGUGAAAACCACAAAGUUUGAUUCCAUGUUGAACUGUUUUCUUUUGGUUUGGUUUAUUUUUGGGAAUGUUGUGAUCUACAGAACUUAUGAGACGUACAGCACAGUACCGGGACAGCACAACUACUGUAACCCCAUACUGUAUGACUAUGCCUUCUGGCUGACCACUGCGACCUACAUACUACUGGGUACCUCCUGUUGCUGUAUCUGCUUCUGUGGCUGUCUGGCCAGCCUGGCAGGGGGAGAUAAAUGAUUCUCCCGUGGGAUAAAAAAAAAAACAUAUAUCUGGGAUUCAAAUCAAACCUGGUUUCUUGACUGACAUAUACAUAUGUAUUCAUAUUUAUUUUAUGAUUGAAAUAUAUGUUAUUUUGAUGUUGUUCACAUAUAGGUAUUAUCUCAUUUUUGUACUUUUUCCUAUUCUUUUUCUUCUCUCUUUAUGAGAGGCACAUUGUUAUUCAGUACCAAAAGUUUUUCUCUGUGUAUGAAUAUGAUUUCUAUCAUGAAAAAUUGAAAAUCUAUUCUGAGGUUGAUUAAAUGUGCUGUUUGUCUUUUGACAAAAGGAUUGACGCUUUAUAUAUCUUUACACAAAAUAACUACUUCAUGUACCAGUAUUUCUCAAUAUUUCUUGUUUCUGGAGAUGCUUUUUUUUCUUGACAAUUUAUAGCAUGUAACUUAAAAUCUUGUAUAGCAAGGUAAUGAAUAAUGUUCUUUUUGCAUCUAUUUUAAAUUAGGAGUGAAACAGUUUACAGCAGUAUGGUUUCACUAUGGUAUUUUUUCUCAGUUUGAUACAUUUUGCAAAAUCUCCACUUUCAGUUUGGUUCAUUUUUCCAUCGGGAUCCUUAUUCAAUAUUCAGUAAGGUUGAACAAAGGUCAAAUGUUGCUUAGCAUAAUUUAGUAUUCAAAACAUAAUAUUAUUAUAAAUUUUUGAGGACUGAUAGUUUGUAAAAUAAUUUUUAAUAGUCAAAUCAUAUUUAUAAAUAUCAAUUUCUUGUCAAUUUGCUUGUAAAUGAAGUGGCUAGAACUAUGCUAAAUUUGUUUCCUUUCCAACAAAAUGUAGGUAUCUAAUAAAAAAUAAAGGUACUGAUACAAAAUUAUAUGGUACAUAUCGUACCAUGAAGGAGACUUUUGUUUCACUCCUAUUUUAAAUAUUUACAACUUUAUAAUCUUAUGAUAUAUUACAUGCAAAUGAUUUUGUUACAGUAACACAUUUGAUUUUAAAGGGGAAUUAGCUGUACAUUGUAAUACUGAUGAUAACCCCUUAUUCUUUAAUAAACAUUUUUUUUUUGUGUGUGUGCUAAUUGAAGAAAUAAAUGUGUAUAUAUUUUUGCACUGGUUGUACAUAUAUAUGAAAUUUUGAUAUUUUGAUAAUUAUCUCUCUUAUUGUUAUUUAUUGACUAGUACAUUUAUUUCCUAUAAAUUUAUAACUUAAUUUAACAUAAAUGGAAAGGAAUGGUAAUGGCUAGGUUUAAAUUGGUCUUCAUUUCAUAUUGGAAAAAACAAAACACAUUCAAAAUGUGAAAGUUUGCAGUUAGGAAAUUUAAAUGGCAGAUCUAGUAAUAUUUUUCCGUUUCACAGCGAUCAAAGGAUUCAAUACAUGUAGGUACACAACUUUAAAGCUUAUGCAAUUUUGAGU
This is an RNA transcript of Saccostrea cuccullata (small rock oyster), 2099 nucleotides long. It is a transcript of the gene named transmembrane protein 272-like, with no coding region annotated. The transcript has 6 exons. The record is from RefSeq and is a predicted model, not a curated record. NCBI's taxonomy places the organism in Eukaryota, Metazoa, Mollusca, Bivalvia, Ostreida, Ostreidae.